GACGGUUUGGCCGAGUGGUCUAAGGCGCCAGAUUUAGGCUCUGGUUCGAAAGGCGUGGGUUCAAAUCCCACAAUGUUUA
RNAcentral lists this transfer RNA (79 nucleotides) under Ipomoea nil (Japanese morning glory). It matches the Rfam family "tRNA". From Rfam's summary of the family: Transfer RNA (tRNA) molecules are approximately 80 nucleotides in length. Their secondary structure includes four short double-helical elements and three loops (D, anti-codon, and T loops). The record is from Rfam by way of RNAcentral. Lineage: Eukaryota; Viridiplantae; Streptophyta; Magnoliopsida; Solanales; Convolvulaceae.